RNAcentral lists this transfer RNA (75 nucleotides) under Escherichia coli. RNAcentral's name for it is "tRNA-Val". It matches the Rfam family "tRNA", at positions 1 to 61 of the family's 71-position model. Rfam says of the family: Transfer RNA (tRNA) molecules are approximately 80 nucleotides in length. Their secondary structure includes four short double-helical elements and three loops (D, anti-codon, and T loops). The record is from RNAcentral. Lineage: Bacteria; Pseudomonadati; Pseudomonadota; Gammaproteobacteria; Enterobacterales; Enterobacteriaceae.
GGGUGAUUAGCUCAGCUGGGAGAGCACCUCCCUUACAAGGAGGGGGUCGGCGGUUCGAUCUUGCGAAAUUGCCUG